RNAcentral lists this ribosomal RNA (407 nucleotides) under uncultured eukaryote. RNAcentral describes it as "SSU rRNA". It matches the Rfam family "Eukaryotic small subunit ribosomal RNA", at positions 592 to 1018 of the family's 1831-position model. The record is from RNAcentral.
CAAUAGCGUAUAUUAAAGUUGUUGCAGUUAAAAAGCUCGUAGUUGAACUUCUGGUCAAGCGUGACCUUGGCUUCGGUCGAGGCAGGCAUGGCCAUCCGUCAGAAAACCAGGGAGGGUCUUAAGUGAUCGCUCUGGGGAUCUGACACUUUACUUUGAAAAACUAGAGUGUUCAUGGCAGGCUAACGCCCUGAAUACACAAGCAUGGAAUAAUAGAAUAGGACUGGGUCCAUUUUGUUGGUUAUUGGACGCAGUGAUGAUUAAUAGGGACAGUUGGGGGCAUUAGUAUUUAAUUGUCAGAGGUGAAAUUCUUGGAUUUAUUAAAGACUGACUUAUGCGAAAGCAUUUGCCAAGGAUGUUUUCAUUGAUCAAGAACGAAAGUUAGGGGAUCAAAGACGAUCAGAUACCAU